GGCGCAUUUUGCUCCUGGGAGUGGGAGCGAAAAGACGCCAUAUGAUGUCUUCAACUAUAUUCGGAGAACAUUAGAAAAAGACUUCAAAACUGUUGUCGAGAUUAGUCCGGUUAUCUGGUUUGUAACCGUGCUAUUCCUCUUGACCAACUCCGAUGGAAUACAUUCUUACCUAUGAUUACCAUUCAUACCUUUGAUUGUGGUACUAAUAGUUGGAACAAAGCUUCAAGUCAUUAUAACCAAAUUGGGUCUAAGAAUUCAAGAGAAGAGUGAUGUGGUGAGAGGCGCCCCUGUGGUUCAGCCUGGUGAUGAUCUCUUCUGGUUUGACAACCCCAACGUCAUGCUUUUCCUUAUCCAUUUGGUUCUUUUCAUUGUACAACGACUCAAUAUCCCGGUUAAUCCUCUUUCGGUUUUUCUUUCUCCUUGGUAAUAAACCUAUGAUUACUAAAAACCCUUCACUUUGCAGAAUGCAUUUCAA
Brassica napus (rape) is the source of this 475-nucleotide long non-coding RNA. RefSeq lists it as uncharacterized. The record is from RefSeq and is a predicted model, not a curated record. The transcript is spliced from 4 exons. Lineage: Eukaryota; Viridiplantae; Streptophyta; Magnoliopsida; Brassicales; Brassicaceae.